AGUGAACGCUGGCGGUAGGCCUAACACAUGCAAGUCGAACGGCAGCACAGUAAGAGCUUGCUCUUACGGGUGGCGAGUGGCGGACGGGUGAGGAAUACAUCGGAAUCUACUUUUUCGUGGGGGAUAACGUAGGGAAACUUACGCUAAUACCGCAUACGACCUACGGGUGAAAGCAGGGGAUCUUCGGACCUUUCGCCAGUGAAUGAGCCCAUGUCGGAUUAGCUAGUUGGCGGGGUAAAGGCCCACCAAGGCGACGAUCCGUAGCUGGUCUGAGAGGAGGAGCAGCCAGACGGGGACUGAGACACGACGCAGACGCGGACGGGAUGAAGCAGGGGGGAAUAGUCGACAAGGUGCGAAAGACUGAUCCAGCAAUACCGCGUGAGUGAGGAAGGCCUAAGGGAUGAAAAGCCCGGUGACCCCGGAGGAUAAUGACACGACCGGGAAAAUAAGCGACGGCUAACUCCGUG
Molecule: ribosomal RNA, 467 nt
Filed under: uncultured bacterium
Lineage: Bacteria
Description: partial 16S ribosomal RNA
Rfam family: Bacterial small subunit ribosomal RNA
Source: RNAcentral